Molecule: non-coding RNA, 123 nt
Organism: Picea glauca (white spruce)
Lineage: Eukaryota; Viridiplantae; Streptophyta; Pinopsida; Pinales; Pinaceae
Source: Rfam
AUGUACAUUCCUACAACAUAGAAUUAAUGCAGUCGAUCCCAUUAGAAAUUUGUAGUUAGGCACACUUAGGCUAGAGUAGUAAUGGGAUGGGUGACCGCUCGAGAAGUCCUAGUGUUUUACAUG